Molecule: ribosomal RNA, 488 nt
Filed under: uncultured bacterium
Lineage: Bacteria
Description: partial 16S ribosomal RNA
Rfam family: Bacterial small subunit ribosomal RNA
Source: RNAcentral
GAUGAACGCUAGCUACAGGCUUAACACAUGCAAGUCGAGGGGCAGCAUGAUUGAGCUUGCCUCAAUCCAUGGCCACCGGCGCACGGGGGAGUAACACGUAACCCACCCGCCGAUAACUCGGGGAUAGCCUUUCGAAAGAAAGAUUAAUACCCGAUAGUAUAGUAUUUCCGCAUGGUUUCACUAUUAAAGAACUUCGGUUAUCGAUGGGGAUGCGUUCCAUUAGAUAGUUGGCGGGGUAACGGCCCACCAAGUCAACGAUGGAUAGGGGUUCUGAGAGGAAGCUCCCCCACAUCUGAACUGAGACACGGUCCAAACUCCGACGCGAGGCAGGAGUAUGGUAUACUAGGCAAUGGACGAUAGUCUGAACCAGCCGAGUAGCGUGAAGGAUGACUGGCCUAUGAGUUGUAAACUUCUUUUAAACGGGAAUAAAGUGGGGUAUGCAUACUCCUUUGUAGGUACCGUAUGAAUAAGGAUCGGCUAACUCCGUG